AGAGUUUGAUCCUGGCUCAGGACGAAUGCUGGCUGCGUGCUUAACACAUGCAAGUCGAACGGUGAACAGGGGCUUGCCCCUGGGAUCAGUGGCGAACGGGUGAGUAACACGUGGGCAACCUGCCCCUCACUCUGGGAUAACUCCGGGAAACCGGGGCUAAUACCGGAUACGACCAGACGCGACAUCGCGUCCGGUGGAAAGAACUUCGGUGAGGGAUGGGCCCGCGGCCUAUCAGCUUGUUGGUGAGGUAAUGGCUCACCAAGGCGACGACGGGUAGCCGGCCUGAGAGGGCGACCGGCCACACUGGGACUGAGACACGGCCCAGACUCCUACGGGAGGCAGCAGUGGGGAAUAUUGCGCAAUGGGCGAAAGCCUGACGCAGCGACGCAGCGUGAGGGACGAAGGCCUUCGGGUUGUAAACCUCUUUCAGCGGGGACGAAGCGCAAGUGACGGUACCCGCAGAAGAAGCACCGGCUAACUACGUGCCAGCAGCCGCGGUAAUACGUAGGGUGCAAGCAUUGUCCGGAUUUAUUGGGCGUAAAGAGCUCGUAGGCGGCUUGUCACGUCGGGUGUGAAAACUCGGGGCUUAACCCCGAGCCUGCACUCGAUACGGGCUAGCUAGAGUGUUGCAGGGGAGACUGGAAUUCCUGGUGUAGCGGUGAAAUGCGCAGAUAUCAGGAGGAACACCGGUGGCGAAGGCGGGUCUCUGGGCAACUACUGACGCUGAGGAGCGAAAGCGUGGGGAGCGAACAGGAUUAGAUACCCUGGUAGUCCACGCCGUAAACGUUGGGCGCUAGGUGUGGGGAACCUUCCACGUUCUCCGUGCCGUAGCUAACGCAUUAAGCGCCCCGCCUGGGGAGUACGGCCGCAAGGCUAAAACUCAAAUGAAUUGACGG
Molecule: ribosomal RNA, 896 nt
Filed under: uncultured Actinomycetes bacterium
Lineage: Bacteria; Bacillati; Actinomycetota; Actinomycetes
Description: bacterial SSU rRNA
Rfam family: Bacterial small subunit ribosomal RNA
Source: RNAcentral